UACGUAGGGUGCAAGCGUUAAUCGGAAUUACUGGGCGUAAAGCGCGCGUAGGUGGUUCAGUAAGUUGGAUGUGAAAUCCCCGGGCUCAACCUGGGAACUGCAUCCAAAACUGCUGAGCUAGAGUACGGUAGAGGGUGGUGGAAUUUCCUGUGUAGCGGUGAAAUGCGUAGAUAUAGGAAGGAACACCAGUGGCGAAGGCGACCACCUGGACUGAUACUGACACUGAGGUGCGAAAGCGUGGGGAGCAAACAGG
RNAcentral lists this ribosomal RNA (253 nucleotides) under uncultured bacterium. Its description in RNAcentral is "partial 16S ribosomal RNA". It matches the Rfam family "Bacterial small subunit ribosomal RNA", at positions 524 to 776 of the family's 1533-position model. The record is from RNAcentral.